This 683-nucleotide ribosomal RNA is filed under the name Arthrobacter gandavensis. RNAcentral describes it as "bacterial SSU rRNA". It matches the Rfam family "Bacterial small subunit ribosomal RNA", at positions 824 to 1503 of the family's 1533-position model. The record is from RNAcentral. Lineage: Bacteria; Bacillati; Actinomycetota; Actinomycetes; Micrococcales; Micrococcaceae.
UACGGCCGCAAGGCUAAAACUCAAUAGCUAACGCAUUAAGUGCCCCCGCCUGGGGAGUACGGCCGCAAGGCUAAAACUCAAAGGAAUUGACGGGGGCCCGCACAAGCGGCGGAGCAUGCGGAUUAAUUCGAUGCAACGCGAAGAACCUUACCAAGGCUUGACAUGAACCGGAAAAGCGUAGAAAUACGCUCCCCACUUGUGGCCGGUUUACAGGUGGUGCAUGGUUGUCGUCAGCUCGUGUCGUGAGAUGUUGGGUUAAGUCCCGCAACGAGCGCAACCCUCGUUCUAUGUUGCCAGCGGGUUAUGCCGGGGACUCAUAGGAGACUGCCGGGGUCAACUCGGAGGAAGGUGGGGACGACGUCAAAUCAUCAUGCCCCUUAUGUCUUGGGCUUCACGCAUGCUACAAUGGCCGGUACAAAGGGUUGCGAUACUGUGAGGUGGAGCUAAUCCCAAAAAGCCGGUCUCAGUUCGGAUUGAGGUCUGCAACUCGACCUCAUGAAGUUGGAGUCGCUAGUAAUCGCAGAUCAGCAACGCUGCGGUGAAUACGUUCCCGGGCCUUGUACACACCGCCCGUCAAGUCACGAAAGUUGGUAACACCCGAAGCCGGUGGCCUAACCCCUUGUGGGAGGGAGCCGUCGAAGGUGGGACCGGCGAUUGGGACUAAGUCGUAACAAGUAGCCCAU